This 209-nucleotide ribosomal RNA is filed under the name uncultured bacterium. RNAcentral's name for it is "partial 16S ribosomal RNA". It matches the Rfam family "Bacterial small subunit ribosomal RNA", at positions 566 to 774 of the family's 1533-position model. The record is from RNAcentral.
GGCUCGUAGGCGGUCUUGCAAGUUGGAUGUGAAAACCGAAGGCUCAACCUUCGGCCUGCAUCCAAAACUGCAAGUCUAGAGUACUGGAGAGGAUGGCGGAAUUCCUGGUGUAGCGGUGAAAUGCGUAGAUAUCAGGAGGAACACCGGUGGCGAAGGCGGCCAUCUGGACAGAUACUGACGCUGAGGAGCGAAGGCUAGGAUAGCAAACA